UGCGCCCACUGUCUGGCACUCCCUAGUGAGAUGAACCCGGUACCUCAGAUGGAAAUGCAGAAAUCACCCGUCUUCUGCGUCGCUCACGCUGGGAGCUGUAGACCGGAGCUGUUCCUAUUCGGCCAUCUUGGCUCCUCCUCGAAAUGGCAACGCAUAUGGCUAAUAAAACAUAUUGAGGAUGAAUGAGAAAACAACCUGGUUCCUGGAAGGAGAGAAACAAGGUGGAGUCUUCUCACAGAAACAAGGAGAAGGUCAGAGAGACCUCCGGGAGCAUCUCAUCUUGGAGGUAGCUGUUUGCAUGAGGGCAGUGCUUGUCCUGAGAUGCUAGUUUCGCAGAGUGGUGUUCACAAGGGAAAUAAGCUAGGUCAUUACCGUCUACCCUUACACCAGGAAGAGGAAAACAUUUCAGGCUUAUAUACCAAGGCUUUCCUGCCCCUAAGCUGUCCAGAGUUGCCUUAGUAUUGAUUAUCUUAACUUAAUUAUUAUAAAGUUUGCUGGUAAUGCUUUUGUAUUAAGAGUAAAAGAUAACCUUGAGAGCUGCAAACAUGAGCCCAGCGAUCCAGGAGAUCAAGUUAAUAAUUCUGGAUAUCAAGAGAUCCACGAUUAGUCAAUUCCAACCUGUUUUCCUUUGAUGCCUUAAUCAAGGUUUAGUUAUAGUUAACCUACUUUCAAAAUGCUUACUUCCACCCUCCCUCCAAGAAUCACCCUGAGCAUUUCCUCCACUCUCUAAGUUUAGGAAUUUAGGACUUUCCCCCAAGAAAGGCACUGUAGAGAACAAACAUAUGACAUCUCAAAGACACUUCGCCAUUUCAAAUAGGAAAGAAAAAUUUGCAUCCAAACAGGCCAAAUAUUGCACUCACUGUUAAUGUAAUCAUUUUUCUGACUUUGAAUUCCUUUUCCCAAGUGACUAAACAACGUCUUUAUUCUAACCUUUCGGCACUAGGCAGUUUUUCUCCUGCUUUAGUUUCCUCUACAACCUCCGGAAGAGUUUUCCUCAGCCCUGUUACCUGUUUCGUCCAUCAUUCUGUUGCUCACUGGAUUGGUUUUUACAUUAGUGUGUUUUGACAGCACACAAUGGUUUCCUCAGUUACACAACAGACUCAGUGCCAAUAAACUUUUUUUUAGGUAAUGUAAAGCAUAUUUGAGCACAAGAAUGAUUGCAUUUUCAUGGCUAAAAAUAAACAGUUGUUUUUAAUUUUCCAUGAGAAUGCUGGCUCUUAGCACAAGGGGCCACCUUCUACCUGGUGAACUCUUUAUGCCAAAGUCAUCACUACGUGGCUAGAAAUGUGAAAUUCAAGUUUUCCUUAUGUAACAUAAAGGGAAAAGCCCAUAGGCAAAUCUCUCUUUAAUUCCAUCGUAUCACUGCUCAUGCACAGUGCUUUUAAAACAGACUAUAACAAACAUACCCUAACAGAGAAACAAGUCCUACCCUAGCUAAUUUACAUAAAAAGACUAUCUUUAUUUUUAUAGUAACAAAAAAAGCUAGGAUUAUCUCAUUUAAUCCUUAUACCAUCAUUAUGAAGUGGGUAAUGUUAUACUUACAAAAGGAAGUUAAUCAUUUCUUAUUUUCCACAGACACCACAAGCUCAAGAGGCUGCAUUAGCGUUUUUUAUUGGAGGCAUUUUCUUUUCCUCCAGAUUUUGUUUUUGACUGUUAAGGUCAUAGCUACAAACAAUUGAUCAAGCCUAAAAGGGCAUUUAUAAACCACCUGCAUCUACAUUUUUUUCUUACUGUGGAUGGAUUUAAAAAGCCGUUUCAAGAUGAAAUCUUAUGAGUCAUUAUCAUGUCUUCUGAGGGCU
RNAcentral lists this long non-coding RNA (1799 nucleotides) under Homo sapiens (human). RNAcentral describes it as "HSALNT0382612". The record is from RNAcentral. Lineage: Eukaryota; Metazoa; Chordata; Mammalia; Primates; Hominidae.